RNAcentral lists this unclassified non-coding RNA (520 nucleotides) under uncultured Entrophospora. RNAcentral's name for it is "SSU rRNA". It matches the Rfam family "Eukaryotic small subunit ribosomal RNA", at positions 569 to 1082 of the family's 1831-position model. Lineage: Eukaryota; Fungi; Glomeromycota; Glomeromycetes; Entrophosporales; Entrophosporaceae. The record is from RNAcentral.
AGCAGCCGCGGUAAUUCCAGCUCCAAUAGCGUAUAUUAAAGUUGUUGCAGUUAAAAAGCUCGUAGUUGAAUUUCGGGAUUGACGUGAUGGUCGUGCCUUACGGGGUAUGAACUGUUGCUGUUGAUUUCUCACCUUCUGGAGAAACUUGAUGUCCUUAAUUGGGUGUCUUGCGGAUCCAGGACCUUUACCUUGAAAAAAUUAGAGUGUUUAAAGCAGGCAUUUUUGCUCGAAUACAUUAGCAUGGAAUAAUAGAAUAGGACGGCAUGGUUCUAUUUUGUUGGUUUCUAGGAUCACCGUAAUGAUUAAUAGGGAUAGUUGGGGGCAUUAGUAUUCAAUUGUCAGAGGUGAAAUUCUUGGAUUUAUUGAAGACUAACUACUGCGAAAGCAUUUGCCAAGGAUGUUUUCAUUAAUCAAGAACGAAAGUUAGGGGAUCGAAGACGAUCAGAUACCGUCGUAGUCUUAACCAUAAACUAUGCCGACUAGGAAUCAGACGAUGUUAAUUUUUUCAAUGACUCGUUUG